This 696-nucleotide ribosomal RNA is filed under the name Triticum aestivum (bread wheat). RNAcentral's name for it is "partial small subunit ribosomal RNA". The record is from RNAcentral. Lineage: Eukaryota; Viridiplantae; Streptophyta; Magnoliopsida; Poales; Poaceae.
AUGUUAGGAUGUAAACCCGCAACCACUCCAAUAGAACAAAAUCAUCGGAUCUUGGCAGAUAGUGGUGAUCCUGUUGAUAGGCAUCAAUAUCAAAGGCUAGUUGGGCGAUUAAUCUAUCUGUCUCAUACAAGACCUGAUAUUGCAUAUGUUGUUAGUAUUGUAAGCACAUACAUGCAUGAUCCUAGAACUAGCCACUUAGAUGCCGUGAACAGAAUUCUAAGAUACUUGAAGAGUUGUCCUGGGAAAGGAAUCUUGUUGUAUAAUCAUGGGCAUCUGAGAAUAGAGGGGUACACCGAUGCAGAUUGGGCUGGAUGCUUAGAUGAUAGACGUUUAACCUCCGGCUAUUGCAUGUUUGUAGUUGGAAAUCUGGUUAGUUGGAGAAGUAAGAAGCAGAGUGUGGUGGCUCGCUCCACAGCAGAAGCGGGGUUUAGAUCAAUGGCUUCAGGGUUGUGUGAACUGAUGUGGCUGAAAACCUUGCUAACUAAGUUGCAGUUGUGUGCUGGUGCACCUAAUCAAGUCUAUUCUGAUAAUCAGACCACAAUUAACAUAAUGAAUAACCCAAUUUAUCAUGAUAGAACUAAACAUAUAGAGAUCAAUAGGCACUUCAUUCGAGAGAAAUUAGACGAAGGGUUAUUCCAAAUUAGUUAUGUUAAGUCUGUAGAUCAGCUGGCAGAUGUAUUGACAAAAGGAAUAUGA